RNAcentral lists this ribosomal RNA (465 nucleotides) under Vreelandella stevensii. Its description in RNAcentral is "partial 16S ribosomal RNA". It matches the Rfam family "Bacterial small subunit ribosomal RNA", at positions 338 to 795 of the family's 1533-position model. The record is from RNAcentral. Lineage: Bacteria; Pseudomonadati; Pseudomonadota; Gammaproteobacteria; Oceanospirillales; Halomonadaceae.
CCUACGGGGGGCAGCAGUGGGGAAUAUUGGACAAUGGGCGAAAGCCUGAUCCAGCCAUGCCGCGUGUGUGAAGAAGGCCUUCGGGUUGUAAAGCACUUUCAGUGGGGAAGAAAGCCUUGGGGCUAAUACCCUCGAGGAAGGACAUCACCCACAGAAGAAGCACCGGCUAACUCCGUGCCAGCAGCCGCGGUAAUACGGAGGGGUGCGAGCGUUAAUCGGAAUUACUGGGCGUAAAGCGCGCGUAGGCGGUCUGAUAAGCCGGUUGUGAAAGCCCCGGGCUCAACCUGGGAACGGCAUCCGGAACUGUCAGGCUAGAGUGCAGGAGAGGAAGGUAGAAUUCCCGGUGUAGCGGUGAAAUGCGUAGAGAUCGGGGGGAAUACCAGUGGCGAAGGCGGCCUUCUGGACUGACACUGACGCUGAGGUGCGAAAGCGUGGGUAGCAAACAGGAUUAGAUACCCUGUAGUC